CGUUGAAACACCGAUUCCCGUAUGAUCACCGAAGUUAAGCAACAUCGAGUCUCGUUAGUACCUACAUGAGUGAUCGCUUGGGAAUAUCAGGACCUGCAAG
Non-coding RNA from Acanthosepion pharaonis, 100 nucleotides. NCBI's taxonomy places the organism in Eukaryota, Metazoa, Mollusca, Cephalopoda, Sepiida, Sepiidae. The record is from the annotation of a GenBank genome assembly.